GGCCCAAUGGUCUAGUCGUAGGAUACUCCCUUCGGGUUCGCACCCGUUUACCGUGUAAACGAACGUGGGAGUGGUCCCGGGUUCAAUUCCCGGUUGAGCCC
Molecule: non-coding RNA, 101 nt
Organism: Mycena vitilis
Lineage: Eukaryota; Fungi; Basidiomycota; Agaricomycetes; Agaricales; Mycenaceae
Source: the annotation of a GenBank genome assembly